RNAcentral lists this ribosomal RNA (574 nucleotides) under Enterobacter cloacae. RNAcentral describes it as "bacterial SSU rRNA". It matches the Rfam family "Bacterial small subunit ribosomal RNA", at positions 558 to 1133 of the family's 1533-position model. The record is from RNAcentral. Lineage: Bacteria; Pseudomonadati; Pseudomonadota; Gammaproteobacteria; Enterobacterales; Enterobacteriaceae.
GCGUAAGCGCACGCAGGCGGUCUGUCAAGUCGGAUGUGAAAUCCCCGGGCUCAACCUGGGAACUGCAUUCGAAACUGGCAGGCUAGAGUCUUGUAGAGGGGGGUAGAAUUCCAGGUGUAGCGGUGAAAUGCGUAGAGAUCUGGAGGAAUACCGGUGGCGAAGGCGGCCCCCUGGACAAAGACUGACGCUCAGGUGCGAAAGCGUGGGGAGCAAACAGGAUUAGAUACCCUGGUAGUCCACGCCGUAAACGAUGUCGAUUUGGAGGUUGUGCCCUUGAGGCGUGGCUUCCGGAGCUAACGCGUUAAAUCGACCGCCUGGGGAGUACGGCCGCAAGGUUAAAACUCAAAUGAAUUGACGGGGGCCCGCACAAGCGGUGGAGCAUGUGGUUUAAUUCGAUGCAACGCGAAGAACCUUACCUGGUCUUGACAGCCGCAGAACUUACCAGAGAUGCUUUGGUGCCUUCGGGAACUGUGAGACAGGUGCUGCAUGGCUGUCGUCAGCUCGUGUUGUGAAAUGUUGGGUUAAGUCCCGCAACGAGCGCAACCCUUAUCCUUUGUUGCCAGCGGUUAGGCCG